GGUGAGUGGACACUUUUUGAGCACAUGUAAUGUCCCUUCAAUGGAGGAGCAAAGAUGGCUGAGAAGAGAAGCAGGAGGAGAAAGAGUCCAGAACAAGAUGCUGUGGAACAUAUAAUUGAGGAAAAAGAUAAAACAUUCAUUGAGGAAAGAUUUAUCAACCACUAUAAAGGGAGAGGUGUAUUUGCAAGAGAGUACAUUGAACCCAAAAGUUUUGUGGUGGAGUACCGAGGAGUUCUGUCUCUGAGUAAAGGUGCAGAUGACAAAAGCAACAAAUAUGCAUUUGAUUUCAUAUGGAAUGGAAAGCAAUAUUGGUAAG
Molecule: long non-coding RNA, 316 nt
Organism: Corythoichthys intestinalis (scribbled pipefish)
Lineage: Eukaryota; Metazoa; Chordata; Actinopteri; Syngnathiformes; Syngnathidae
Exons: 3
Source: RefSeq, a predicted model, not a curated record